AUAGUCGGAUUCACAUCAGUCCAUAUGUGUUGAGUUGUAUUGGAGUGAAACUUAAACUAAAUUUCACCACAAUCCAAAACAACACACAUGGAUUGAAGUGAACCCAACA
MicroRNA precursor from Sorghum bicolor (sorghum), 109 nucleotides. It matches the Rfam family "MIR5565 microRNA precursor family". Lineage: Eukaryota; Viridiplantae; Streptophyta; Magnoliopsida; Poales; Poaceae. The record is from Rfam.